UACGGAGGGUGCAAGCGUUAUCCGGAUUCACUGGGUUUAAAGGGUGCGUAGGUGGAUCGGUAAGUCCGUGGUGAAAUCCCCGAGCUUAACUCGGGAACUGCCGUGGAUACUAUCGAUCUUGAAUACUGUGGAGGUAAGCGGAAUAUGUCAUGUAGCGGUGAAAUGCUUAGAUAUGACAUAGAACACCGAUAGCGAAGGCAGCUUGCUACACAGUUAUUGACACUGAGACGCGAAAGCGUGGGGAGCAAACAGG
RNAcentral lists this ribosomal RNA (253 nucleotides) under uncultured bacterium. RNAcentral's name for it is "partial 16S ribosomal RNA". It matches the Rfam family "Bacterial small subunit ribosomal RNA", at positions 524 to 776 of the family's 1533-position model. The record is from RNAcentral.